Molecule: non-coding RNA, 84 nt
Organism: Chromobacterium sp.
Lineage: Bacteria; Pseudomonadati; Pseudomonadota; Betaproteobacteria; Neisseriales; Chromobacteriaceae
Source: Rfam
GCCCAGGUGGCGGAAUUGGUAGACGCACUAGGUUCAGGUCCUAGCGCCCGCAAGGGUGUGGAAGUUCGAGUCUUCUCUUGGGCA